RNAcentral lists this unclassified non-coding RNA (332 nucleotides) under soil metagenome. Its description in RNAcentral is "partial contains 5.8S ribosomal RNA, internal transcribed spacer 2, and large subunit ribosomal RNA". The stretch from base 1 to 120 matches the Rfam family "5.8S ribosomal RNA", at positions 35 to 154 of the family's 154-position model. The record is from RNAcentral.
GAUGAAGAACGCAGCGAAAUGCGAUAAGUAGUGUGAAUUGCAGAAUUCAGUGAAUCAUCGAAUCUUUGAACGCACAUUGCGCCCUUUGGUAUUCCUUAGGGCAUGCCUGUUCGAGCGCCAUUUAAACCUUCAAGCUCAGCUUGGUGUUGGGUGACUGUCCGCUUCACCGCGGACUCGCCUCAAAAUUAUUGGCGGCCGGUACAUUGGCUUCGAGCGCAGCAGAAACGCGAACUCGGGCCCGUCGUAUUGGCUCCCAGAAGCUAUCUUCACAAUUUUGACCUCGGAUCAGGUAGGGAUACCCGCUGAACUUAAGCAUAUCAAUAAGCGGAGGA